Molecule: long non-coding RNA, 437 nt
Organism: Mytilus californianus (California mussel)
Lineage: Eukaryota; Metazoa; Mollusca; Bivalvia; Mytilida; Mytilidae
Exons: 3
Source: RefSeq, a predicted model, not a curated record
AGGCUUGUGGAUGGGAGAUCCCUUCACGAAAAUGGCGUUGAUAUCAUUGAUGGACGCUUGGAGGUGUAUAACCAACACGAAUGGGGCAAUGUCUGCGAUGAUGAGUUCUCAGAUUUGUCAGCUAGAGUGGUUUGUCGAAUGUUGGGGUUUGAAAGUAAUGCGAAGAUGCUAUUAACUUACCGUUAUGGAAAUAAGCCUAUAGCUCUUGACCAGGUUGAAUGUAUUGGAUCAGAGAAGGACAUACUAGAUUGUCCACGUUUAAACUGGCGUGAACAUGACUGCACUCACGAGCAGGACGUCGGCGUUCGAUGUGAGCAGAUGUGGAGUAUAAGCAGUUUUAAAGAAGAUUUUGUUGUUAUGUUUAACAUGAGCAACUCCUACGUUCAAGUGUGCAACACACAUCUUGUUGAAGAAAAAAUUUGCGAAAUACUUGGUUU